GUGCUUGCUUUGGCAUCACAAUUUUAAAACUGGAGAAGAUUAGCAUGGCCCCUGGGCAAGGAUGACACGCAAAUUCAUGAAGCAUUCCAUAGUAUU
This is a small nuclear RNA of Dipodomys ordii (Ord's kangaroo rat), 96 nucleotides long. The record is from Ensembl. Lineage: Eukaryota; Metazoa; Chordata; Mammalia; Rodentia; Heteromyidae.